AUUGGGAAAUGAUGAACCAUUUGAAAAUAAUCCGAGGCAUUUUGCCAUGUGCUUAUGCCCUUGUUGAAUUAUUGCACGUCAGUCUGAUCCCACG
RNAcentral lists this small nucleolar RNA (94 nucleotides) under Amborella trichopoda. RNAcentral's name for it is "Small nucleolar RNA Z122". It matches the Rfam family "Small nucleolar RNA Z122". Rfam says of the family: Z122 is a member of the C/D class of snoRNA which contain the C (UGAUGA) and D (CUGA) box motifs. The record is from Rfam by way of RNAcentral. Lineage: Eukaryota; Viridiplantae; Streptophyta; Magnoliopsida; Amborellales; Amborellaceae.